Molecule: RNA transcript, 9320 nt
Organism: Brienomyrus brachyistius
Lineage: Eukaryota; Metazoa; Chordata; Actinopteri; Osteoglossiformes; Mormyridae
Gene: cacna1aa
Gene name: calcium channel, voltage-dependent, P/Q type, alpha 1A subunit, a
Exons: 48
Source: RefSeq, a predicted model, not a curated record
GUGUGCGUCAUGUGCUGCAAAGGGCUGGACGAAGAUUUCAGGACGGCGCUUCGGCAGCGCUGAAUUGAUCAGAUGCUCAUUAUAGCUCGACCUGCCAGCUGAUCGGAGGCUCUCACCACCUUCGUCGUUUUGUUUUAGAAGGCAGCUUUUCUAGAGCAUCAGCUGCCUCCCACCCCACCCGGGUCGCCGGACUGCACGUAGCAAAGCCGAGCAAAGUCUUAUCGCACCGUGCAGGACGGCUUUACGAACCGGGGAGAUUCUUUGGGGCGGGGAUGGUUUGCGGUCCCUCCACUGCGACCAGACUGGUGGCGGAGACCGUGAGAGCUGGUGAGAGAGCCGGGCGGCUGCUGCCGUCUGCGAAGGAUGAUCAUGCUCCGAUUUAAGUCCGUCUGCUCCCGCUUUGGAUUUGGAUGCGCAUGGAUUGCCGUACUAACAUUGGAGUGCAGAUGAUGAGCGUUGCACAGGGGAUGUCGUUUUAUAUCUGAAAACAAGUAAGCCAGAAUUUGAACAUUUUUGGCAAGAUUACGUCUUUGUUUAAAAAAGGGGAACAAUCCUGGGGGAAAACAACGGGGGAAAAGGAGUAUCGCCGACUGGCACGAAGAUCCAUGGUCGUCGUUAGACUGCAUGUGUGUAACCCGAGUGUGCGGCAGCGGUAGGCAGAAUAUGAGUCUACUGUAUCAAACAUUGCGGAUGCUUCAGAAAUAAAUAAAUAACUCAUGUCCCCCCUUUUCCUUUUUUGUGUAAAAAAAUCCGAGAGCUGCCGCAACCAUAGACAAGAUGCCCAGCUGAAAAAAUCCCGUGGAUUUGGAUCCUUAUUUUUAUUUUUCAGCGUAUGAUUUAGUUAAUCACUGCAUUGGCAUCAUAUUCAUAAUUUAUACAGUUAUGAUAACCAUUGCUGUUUGAACCUCUCAGUGCUGUAUUUGAAUCCAACUUGCCCGAUUGAAAUGAUUCAAAAUUCCCAAUAUCGUGGAUCUGGAGACCAUUUGGACCAACUAGAACAUUUGUAUUAGUGUAUUUUUUUAGAAUAUGUUUAUGCUAGUUUUUUUAACAUAAAAUCGAGCCGGAGAAGGACCGUACUACGGUAAUAGGUGGACAAGCAGCCAGCUCGCCACACGUUCCCUUUUUCACACCCAUACUUGCCCGAUUUCAUAAAUAUUUGCGGAUAUUCUCUCCAUGGGCGUCCGUCGUUCUUACUGUUUUUCUGGCAAAGAAGGAACCGAAGAUCAUAUCAGUUGCAUGCUUAUUUAGUCCUGAAGCAGAUGGGAUGUAAUGUGGUGUGGCUGCGCUGACUACUCGCUACCUUCUCUGCUGCUUCGACACGACUGGCGUUUGGUGACUAGAGAAUGGCGCGGUUUGGAGAUGAGGUGCCGUCCAGGUAUGGCGGAGGACCUGGCCAGGGGGGUCCCGGCCGCGGCGGCAGUAGGCAAGGUGGCCCGCCGGGAGCCCAAAGGAUGUACAAGCAAUCGAUGGCCCAGCGAGCCCGAACCAUGGCCCUUUACAACCCGAUACCGGUGCGCCAGAACUGUUUCACAGUCAACCGGUCCCUGUUCAUCUUUAGUGAGGACAACUUCGUGAGAAAAUACGCCAAAAAGAUCACCGAAUGGCCUCCUUUUGAAUACAUGAUCCUGGCCACCAUCAUCGCCAACUGCAUUGUCCUGGCCCUGGAGCAGCAUCUGCCUGACGGGGACAAGACCCCCAUGUCCGAGCGCCUGGACGACACAGAGCCCUACUUCAUCGGCAUCUUCUGCUUCGAGUCAGGCAUCAAGAUCCUGGCCCUGGGCUUCGCCUUCCAUAAGGGCUCAUACCUGCGCAAUGGCUGGAACGUCAUGGACUUCGUAGUGGUGCUCACCGGAAUUUUGUCCACGGUGGGAUCGGAAUUUGAUCUCCGGACGCUGCGAGCAGUGCGGGUCUUAAGGCCCCUAAAGCUGGUGUCCGGAAUUCCCAGCCUGCAGGUGGUGCUGAAGUCCAUCAUGAAAGCCAUGAUCCCCUUGCUACAGAUUGGGUUGCUGCUCUUCUUUGCCAUUCUCAUGUUUGCCAUUAUUGGCCUCGAGUUCUACAUGGGCAAGUUUCACACGACCUGCUUCGACCUUAUCACCAGAGAGAUCCGAGAGGAAUUCCCCUGUGGAAAAGAACCCCCAUCCAGAUUGUGUCCCAAUGGCACGGUGUGUCGGGAAUACUGGCUCGGUCCCAACUAUGGGAUCACCCAGUUUGACAACAUCCUGUUUGCCGUGCUCACUGUCUUCCAGUGCAUCACCAUGGAGGGCUGGACUGACCUGCUCUACUACAGCAAUGAUGCCUCAGGAAGUGCCUACAACUGGAUGUACUUCAUCCCCCUGAUCAUUAUCGGCUCCUUCUUCAUGCUGAACCUGGUUCUGGGAGUGUUGUCAGGGGAGUUUGCCAAGGAAAGGGAGCGGGUGGAGAACCGGAGCGAAUUUCUCAAACUACGCAGACAGCAGCAGAUUGAGCGGGAGCUUAAUGGCUACCUAGAGUGGAUUUGCAAAGCUGAGGAGGUUAUCCUGGCGGAUGAGGAUAACGACACAGAUGAUCGAAUGCCCUUUGAUGGUUCCCGGCGACGGCCCACCAUGAAGAAGAGCAAGACUGAUCUUCUUAACCCAGAGGAAGGAGAAGGUGACAUUGCCGUAGGAUCACCAUUUGCCCGGUCCAGUAUCAAGAGCUCAAAACUAGAGGGAUCCUCCUUCAACAAGAAGGAGAGACGCCUGCGCUUCUUCAUCCGCCACAUAGUGAAGACGCAGGCCUUCUACUGGACCGUGCUGUGUCUGGUGGGCCUCAACACGCUGUGCGUGGCCGUCGUGCACUACAACCAGCCGGAGCUGCUCUCCGACUUCCUCUAUUUCGCAGAGUUCAUCUUCUUGGGCAUUUUCAUGUCGGAGAUGUUGAUAAAGAUGUAUGGCCUGGGAACCCAGCCUUAUUUUCACUCGUCCUUCAACUGCUUCGACUGUAUUGUCAUCGUGGGGAGCAUAUUCGAGGUGCUCUGGGCAAUCAUCCAGCCUGGAACCUCCUUUGGCAUCAGCGUCUUACGAGCUCUCAGGCUGCUCAGGAUCUUCAAAGUAACCAAGUACUGGGCGUCUCUUCGGAACCUGGUCGUAUCUCUCCUCAACUCCAUGAAGUCCAUCAUCAGCUUGCUGUUCCUUCUGUUUCUCUUCAUCGUGGUCUUCGCUCUGCUGGGAAUGCAGCUGUUCGGCGGCCAAUUUAAUUUUGAGAGCGGCACACCUCCCACCAACUUCGAUACAUUUCCUGCAGCAAUAAUGACAGUUUUCCAGAUCCUGACAGGAGAGGACUGGAACAUGGUAAUGUAUGAUGGUAUCGAGUCUCAGGGCGGCGUGAACAAGGGCAUGGUCUUCUCUGUCUUUUUCAUCGUCCUAACACUCUUCGGCAACUACACUCUGCUCAACGUAUUCUUGGCCAUCGCCGUCGAUAACCUAGCCAACGCCCAGGAGCUGACUAAGGAUGAGCAGGAGGAGGAGGAGGCCGCCAGUCAGAAAAUCGCCCUCCAGAAAGCCAAGGAGGUUGCGGAAGUAAGCCCGCUGUCCGCGGCCAACCUGUCCAUUGCCGCUAAAGAACAGCAGAAGAACCACAAGGGCUCCAAGUCUGUGUGGGAACAGCGAACCAGUGAGCUACGCAGGCAUACCCUCAUGACCAGCCGGGAGGCUCUCUACAAUGAGCUGGACCCGGAGGACCGCUGGAAGGUGUCAUAUUCACGCCACAUCCGGCCCGACAUGAAGACCCACCUGGACCGGCCGCUGGUGGUGGAUCCUCAGGAGAAUCGCAACAACAACACGAACAAGACCAGGCCAUGUGACGAACAGGAACAGCGCCUGGGCCAGCAGCGUGCCGAGGAGUUCACGCGCAAGCAGGCCCGCUACCAUGAGCGAGGCGGUGGCGCGAGGCAGCCCUACGAAAGGGCCGACUCUACUGAGUCUCGCCGGGGCCGCAAGGAGCAUGAGCCGGGUCAGAACCAGCACCCCUACCCUCAUUUGGACGGCCCUGAUGACCGCAACCGGGACCCCCAUCGCCGGCACCAGCACCGGCCGGCAGCCGGCCGUGCCAAGGAGGGACGCAGCAUGUCCCCCCGCGGCGAAGGGGGUCCCGUGGAGCACCGGCGACCUCGCCAACACCGCCGCCCACCAGAGGACGAGGAUGGGGGAGGGGGGCGAGGCGGCCGGCACAGAGGCCCACCGGGCGAGGGGGGGAACCGGAGCAGGCCGUCUGACGGUGACUGUGACCACAUGGAUGGUGGGGAUCGCAGGCAGAGACGUCAUCGCCAUGGUGCCCAGUCCACAUACGACAAUGAUGGAAAGAAGGACCGAGACCGGGAGCGUGUCCGGCAGCACCGGGUCCGGAAGGACGGCCAUGGGAAUGGACCACAUCUGUCCACCACCCGGCCGAUUCAGCAGAGCCUGACCCGGCAGGACAGCCAGUACAGCGAGGACUUGGACAACAUGAUGAACAGCAAGUUAGCCACGCAGCCCACUGUCACCGCCGCUCGCAACCACACCUCCCCCCAUAUCCUGUCUAAUCACAGCCCCUCGUCCCUCCCAAGUCCUGCCAAUCACGCAAGCAGCCCUGUCCUGUCCAACAGUAUGCCCAAUGCUGUCAAGGCUCCCGGAAACAGCAACCCAGAGAAGGCUUCUGAGAACAGCCUCAUCCUGAUGAACCCAGCGUCCACCCCCACUAAGACAAGCACCAAGAAGCCAGAUCAUACCACUGUGGACAUGCCACCGGUGUUCCCCUCCAAUAAUGCUAUCCUGCAGGUGAACAAGAAUGCCAACACAGAGCCAUUGCCCAAGAAGGAGGAAGAGAAGAAAGAAGAGGAGGACGAUGACGAUAAAGGCGAUGAGAAUGGACCCAAACCCAUGCCACCCUACAGUUCCAUGUUCAUCCUGUCCACCACUAAUCCGUUCCGCAGGCUGUGUCACUACAUCGUGACGUUACGUUAUUUCGAGAUGUGCAUUCUGCUGGUCAUCGCCAUGAGCAGUAUUGCCCUGGCGGCAGAAGACCCUGUGCAGCCCGACUCACCCCGAAACAACGUUCUGCGGUACUUCGACUACGUCUUUACUGGCGUUUUCACAUUCGAAAUGUUAAUCAAGAUGGUGGACUUGGGCCUUGUGCUUCACCAGGGCUCCUACUUCCGUGAUCUGUGGAACAUCCUGGACUUUAUAGUGGUUAGUGGUGCCCUGGUGGCGUUCGCCUUCACAGGGAGCAGUAAGGGGAAGGACAUCAGCACGAUCAAGUCCCUGCGAGUUUUGAGGGUGCUGCGUCCACUGAAGACCAUCAAGCGGUUGCCCAAGCUGAAGGCCGUGUUCGACUGUGUGGUGAACUCUCUGAAGAACGUCCUCAACAUCCUGAUCGUCUACAUGCUCUUCAUGUUCAUCUUUGCUGUGGUGGCCGUCCAGCUGUUCAAGGGACGCUUCUUCUAUUGCACCGACGAGUCCAAGGAGUUUGAGCGCGACUGCAGGGGCGAGUACUUGGUGUAUGAGCGUGACAAUGAAGUAAGAGCUCAGAAGCGGGAGUGGAAGAAAUACGAUUUCCACUACGACAACGUGCUUUGGGCCCUGCUCACUCUCUUCACUGUGUCUACUGGAGAGGGCUGGCCGCAGGUGCUGAAACAUUCAGUGGAUGCGACUUAUGAGAAUCAGGGCCCGAGCCCGGGGUACCGGAUGGAGAUGUCCAUCUUCUACGUGGUGUAUUUCGUGGUCUUCCCCUUCUUCUUCGUCAACAUCUUUGUGGCUCUCAUCAUCAUCACAUUCCAGGAGCAAGGAGACAAGAUGAUGGAGGACUAUAGUUUGGAAAAGAACGAGAGAGCCUGCAUUGACUUUGCCAUCAACGCCAAGCCUCUGACACGCCAUAUGCCCCAGAACAAGCAGAGCUUCCAGUACCGAAUGUGGGAGUUCGUGGUGUCGCCCCCAUUUGAGUACACCAUCAUGGCCAUGAUCGCGCUCAACACCGUGGUGCUCAUGAUGAAGUACAACGGAGCCUCAGACGCCUACGAGAACGUUCUGAAGUACCUCAACAUUGUUUUCACUGGCCUUUUCUCUAUGGAGUGUUUGCUGAAGAUCAUCGCUUUUGGAGCACUGAACUACUUCAAGGAUGCGUGGAACAUUUUCGACUGUGUGACUGUCCUUGGCAGCAUCACAGACAUUUUGGUGACAGAGCUAGGGAACAACUUCAUCAACCUGAGUUUUCUCAGGCUCUUCAGGGCAGCUCGUCUGAUCAAGCUGCUACGCCAAGGCGAGACCAUUCGCAUCCUGCUCUGGACCUUCGUGCAGUCAUUCAAGGCCCUGCCAUAUGUGUGCCUCCUCAUCGCCAUGCUGUUCUUCAUCUACGCCAUCAUCGGCAUGCAGCUUUUCGGAAACAUAGAGAUCAAUGAGGAUGGAGAGAGUGCCAUCAACCAGCACAACAACUUCAGGACCUUCUUCCAAGCCCUCAUGUUACUCUUCAGGAGCGCCACAGGGGAGGCGUGGCACGACAUUAUGCUCUCCUGCCUUGGGGGGAAAAUGUGUGACCCACGCUCUGGCAACAAGGAUCCGGAGUGUGGCAGCGAGUUUGCCUACCUCUACUUCGUCUCCUUCAUCUUCCUCUGCUCCUUCCUGAUGCUGAACCUCUUUGUGGCUGUCAUCAUGGACAACUUUGAGUAUCUGACCCGGGAUUCGUCCAUCCUGGGCCCUCAUCACCUGGAUGAGUACGUCCGCAUUUGGGCCGAGUACGAUCCAGCUGCGUGCGGGCGCAUUCAUUAUAAGGAUAUGUACAGUUUAUUACGAGUUAUCGACCCCCCCCUGGGCUUAGGCAAGAAAUGCCCCCAUAGGGUGGCCUGCAAGAGACUGCUGCGGAUGGAUCUGCCAGUCGCUGAUGACAGCAGCGUCCAUUUCAACUCCACCCUCAUGGCCUUAAUCCGCACUGCGUUAGACAUCAAGAUCGCCAAGGGUACGGAAGGUGGUGCAGACAAGCACCAGAUGGACUCCGAGCUGCGGAAGGAGAUGAUGGCAAUCUGGCCCAAUCUCUCCCAGAAGACUUUGGACCUCUUGGUCACCCCACACAAGCCUACAGACCUGACGGUGGGCAAGAUCUACGCAGCCAUGAUGAUUAUGGAGUACUACCGCCAGAGCAAAAUCAAAAGGACCCAGGCCCUCCUCGAGGAGCAGAAUCGAACGCCAUUAAUGUUUCAGCGCCUGGAGCCCCCCUCCCCAACCCAGGAAGGUGGGCAGGGAGUCAACGGUCUCCCAGAGCCACAGAUGGACCCUACCAGCAAUUUGCCACUGGAAGGGGGGAUGAGAGAGAGCCAAUCCUGGGUAACAGCACGGGCCCAAGAGAUGUCCCAGAAAGCUGGAAGCUGGAGUCCAGAAGGACCGCACCCGGAUGACCUGCACGGUGGCCGCCAUGACCCACAGACGGUAGAGAUGAGAGAGAUGGGGCGGGAAGGUCACUCGGACAGUGAGCACUAUCUCCCCAUGGAAGGGCACGGGAGGGCUGCCUCCAUGCCCCGACUUCCAGCAGAUAACCACCGGAGGAAAGCAAGGCCUCGUGGGAAUAACCUCAGUACUAUCACGGAUGGCAGUCCCAUGAAGCGCUCAGCAUCAUCACUGGGCCACGGCCGCCCAGGUAAAGGCACACGGAUGGACGACUAUGCCACGGACAGGGUGAUCCCAGAGGAGGGCCCACGACACGGGCACCGGCGCCGGGAGCGAAGCCACCGUACCUCAGAGCGCUCGCUGAGCCGCUACACAGAUGCUGACACAGGGCUCGGAACAGACCUCAGCACCACCACGCAGUCAGGAGACUUGCCGCCUAAAGAGAAGGACCGAGACCGAGACCAUGACCGCGAGCGAGACCGUGACCGCGAGCGGGACCGGGAACGUGGGCGACCCAAAGACAGGAAGCACCAUCACCAUCACCACCAUCAUCACGGAUCCAUGGACAAGGAGCGCUACGGGCAGGACAGGGGCGAGUAUGGCCACCGUCCACCCCGGGAGAGAGAGCACCGCUGGUCCCGCUCGCCCAGUGAGGGCCGGGAGUGCAUGACACACAGACAGGUGGGCUCCAGAGCGUCAUCACAUUAGUACACACUGACACUGCAAACAAAUGGACAGAAUAGCACACUAACACUCACAAAGAGGUAUAAAAUGGCACACUGACACUCACACAGAGGUACAGAAUGGCACACUGACACUCACACACAGAGGUACAGAAUGAUACACUGACACUCACAUACAGAGGUACAGAAUGACACACUGACAUUCACACACUGAGUGACAGAAUGGCACACUGACACUCACACACAGAGGUACAGAAUGGCACACUGACACUCACACACAGAGGUACAGAAUGGCACACUGACACUCACACACAGAGGUACAGAAUGGCACACAGACCCUCACACACAUAGGUAUAGAAUGGCACACUGACACUCACACAGAGGUACAGAAUGGCACACAGACACUCACACACGGAGGUACAGAAUGGCACACUGACACUCACACGCAUAGGUACAGAAUGGCACACUGACAUUCACACACUGAGGGACAAACUGGCACACUGACACUCACACACAGAGGUACAGAAUGGCACACUGACACUCACACACUGAGGUACUGAAUGGCACACUGACACUCACACACUGAGGGACAAACUGGCACACUGACACUCACACACAGAGGUACAGAAUGGCACACUGACACUCACACACUGAGGUACUGAAUGGCACACUGACACUCACACACAGAGGUACAGAAUGGCACACUGACACUCACAGUCUCCCUCUUGUAGGGACCAAAAAAAUGGUCCCCACAACAUCAAAAUAACAGGUUUUAUCACAUUAUGGGGAAAUUUGGUCCUUACAAUGUAAUGUAUACAUAACUCAGAAUCACAUGUUGGGAUACACACAAGGUACAGAAUCACACACUGAGACACACACACUGACACAACUUUCUCUUCCCACAUACUGUUUUACAGUAAGCCAAACAGAGAUAUACACUGCAUAAAGACACACACUGGCCGCCAAGCUUUUGUACAUACGCAGCGCACACACCUGUCACACGCACCACACACACUAUGCACACACACUGCACACGCACCACACAUCUCACACAUUGAUGUUGCUGCCUGACUGUUUCUCCGCCUUCCCUAUAAAGCAUAUUCUCAGGACCUGACCGUCCUCUCAAUAUGUGUGUAUUUCCCUUUAAUUGUCCCUAAACCAUUGAAUUUUACCAGAAUGCCCGCUUUGACUGGGGUAGGGGAUCCUUCCCGUCACCCCCCUGAUGCACCUGCCGCUUCUAAGGCUCAAAGUGGCAUUAAUUUAGAGGCGG